This 64-nucleotide transfer RNA is filed under the name Diplosoma listerianum. RNAcentral's name for it is "transfer RNA-Gly (GGN)". The record is from RNAcentral. Lineage: Eukaryota; Metazoa; Chordata; Ascidiacea; Aplousobranchia; Didemnidae.
UAUAGUGUAGUUUAUUUAAAAAACAUUUAUUUUCCAAAUAAAAAAAACUUAUGUGUUAUUAUAA